RNAcentral lists this long non-coding RNA (230 nucleotides) under Setaria italica (foxtail millet). RNAcentral describes it as "long non-coding RNA (SITA_LNC006027)". The record is from RNAcentral. Lineage: Eukaryota; Viridiplantae; Streptophyta; Magnoliopsida; Poales; Poaceae.
AUCCGGAUCAAAUUACAUCCUGCAGGGGAGUACCCUGGUCACCAGUUAUGUACGACUGUCCAGGUCGUACGUAACGACCUUUCAAUUAGCAAAACCAAGGAUUAGGAAUAAGACUACCCGGACCCAGGGACGCACCCCCACAUGGGACCCCACGUCUGGCCUGAUCUCCAUGUGAGUUUCAGGCUAUGCCCCUGCCAAUCUUUAGCACGUCAAGCACGGGUAUGAAGUAU